This 392-nucleotide ribosomal RNA is filed under the name uncultured bacterium. RNAcentral describes it as "partial 16S ribosomal RNA". It matches the Rfam family "Bacterial small subunit ribosomal RNA", at positions 523 to 918 of the family's 1533-position model. The record is from RNAcentral.
AUACGGAGGAUCCGAGCGUUAUCCGGAUUUAUUGGGUUUAAAGGGUGCGCAGGCGGCCAUUUAAGUCAGCGGUUAAAUCGUGGGGCUCAACCCCAUUCUGCCGUUGAUACUGGGUGGCUUGAUUGCGGUCGAGGUUGGCGGAAUUCGUUGUGUAGCGGUGAAAUGCAUAGAUAUGACGAAGAACACCGAUUGCGUGGGCAGCUGACCAGAUCGCAAAUGACGCUCAUGCACGAAAGUGCGGGGAUCGAACAGGAUUAGAUACCCUGGUAGUCCGCACAGUAAACGAUGAAUACUUGUUUUCGGCGAUAUAAUGUCGGAGGCAAAGCGAAAGCGAUAAGUAUUCCACCUGGGGAGUACGCCGGCAACGGUGAAACUCAAAGGAAUUGACGGGG